GACGGGACAAGUGCGACGUGCCGCUUGGCAUCCAGGAUUAGCGGCUCCAUCACGCGUACACGUGGCCUGUCGGGUUGGGACCUUGCGCUGAUGGCGGGCUGCUGCACCCACCACAAAACGGACCACCUCGGGGACCCAAGUGCAUGACCAGAAGUGCCGUGAAAAGGACUAACUUUGAUCCCAUUAGCUGGUGAACCCCUGCAGUCGGCUGAGGUGACGAAGACACACAACUCCUGGUCACUUCUGCUCAAGAGACUUACUGAUCAUCUGAUGGGAAAACCACCGGAAGCCCCACCAGGUUUCACGUCCGCCUCCUUCAGACCUCAUUUCCACCAAAUCCCAGUUGGACCCUCUUCUUCCUCUCCACCAACGAUAAAGACAACCACCUGCCUUUCCCCAGCAGUUACACUUUGACUCCGUCUCUAUUGACUACUCGGUAGGAAGACCACUGCUCUUCAAAACAUCCUUUACAAUACAUGGGGUGGAUCCCCCCCAACCCGCUCCCUGUAUAGUUGUGUUUCGCUUACACGAGUGACCAACUUCUGCCUUCUAGUGACCAACAGGAUUGUUCAUCCGAGCCUCAAGUUUCCUACAAUCAACUGACCCACAGGCCACACUCAGGAGAUCCAGAGCGCCAAGCAGAACAUACAGAACAGCAACGUUAUUAGUGUUGGAUUGGUAGUAAAGUGUUCACUUCGGUACCAGCUUUCAGAACUCCGUACCACCAGCAAAACGGUUCCAAAACGAAUAACGGACAACUCCAAAUCUCCCCAUCUUACUCCAGCCUACCUCAUCGCGUACCCCUUCAGUCGACGCAAAGUCUCAGGGAAGGGAGGGUUUGUGUGUCACCUGAAGUCCCAAUUGUGCUGAAAGAAGUGGAGGAGGUGGGGUGUCACGUGAGGUCAAGAUUGCGGCAAUGGUUAAAGUCACGUGAAGUCCCAAUUGUGUCAAAAGCAAGGGCGGAGUCAGCUGAGGUCACGCUGGUGCAAGGGGAGGGGUUGUGUCAUAUCAAAGCAUUUUGGGGGGCAUGUGAGAUCAAGACUGUGUCGAUGCAAGGAGAGAGGGGUUGUGUCAUGGAACGUCCCGAUUGAAUUAAAGCAUUUUUGGUCACAUGAAGUCAAGAUCAUGUCGAAGAUGGGGGGUUUAAAUCACAUGAA
Molecule: long non-coding RNA, 1157 nt
Organism: Polypterus senegalus (gray bichir)
Lineage: Eukaryota; Metazoa; Chordata; Cladistia; Polypteriformes; Polypteridae
Exons: 3
Source: RefSeq, a predicted model, not a curated record